Molecule: long non-coding RNA, 1553 nt
Organism: Alligator mississippiensis (American alligator)
Lineage: Eukaryota; Metazoa; Chordata; Crocodylia; Alligatoridae
Exons: 2
Source: RefSeq, a predicted model, not a curated record
CUUGCUGUAUGCUAGCAGGCUCUGUGCAUGCUGCAGCUGGAGCACUGAGCACAGCGCUUGCUUGCAGCCCGUACAUCUGCUACAGGGACUGAGCUGGGGCUGUGUUCAGUGCCGCAAGGCUAGAAAGGGGACAGAGCCUGGGGGUGCAGAGCAAGGAUUUUCUCAAACAGGAAGCAACUGUGACCACCUGAAACCUGAGAUCCUGCUCCUGCUGUUUCAAGCUAAUUUGCAUCAUCACAAAUCCUCACAGGCGGUGAGAGGCUCCGUACCAGCUAUGCAUUCACUGCCCAGAGGAGUAUUCCAUCUGUUGACUCCUUGUGAAAUCCUAUGAAAUAUGAACUUUCAUUUCUACCCAGGAGAACUUUUACAAUCUUUUCUCCAAUGUCUGAUGAAGGGUGUUUGUGCCCAAAAGCUUGCAACUAAAGAACUUUUUUUUGCAAAAAUUUUGUUGGUCUAAUAGAAGAUAUCAUCUGUACUAUGAGUCUUGAUUGCUUUAAUUAGAAUGCCUGCAGCAUCUUGCGUGUUCAGCACCCCACAUUUCAAAAUAGCAGAGGAGGCACUUUAACUAAAACUCAUUUGACAAGCUUUAGUUAAAGUGCUCCACUGCCAUUUUGAAACAUGGGACACUGAAUACAUGAGGCAAUGCAGCAUGCUGGAGCAUUCCGAUUAGAAUGCUUCAGCAGACUCAAUUAAUCGAGUCUGCUCUGAUGUAUUCUGAUUAGAAAGCGUCAGAGCACAUGUAAAAGUUGUACUACACUAAGCAGACCUUCUAAUCAAUCUGAAAGAAAUGAAUGCCUAACCAACAGUAUGUCCUGCACUAUUUCCAAGUACUCUUAGCACUGGCACUAUUUUAAACUUUAAAAUACUUAGACUUGUCUUAAUUCCUUGUCUGAGAUUUAGUAAAUAAACUCCCAUUAGUCUGUUUAAAUAUUUCUAAAGAUAAGUACCACUAUAAACAGGUAUUACAUUUUGUACCUAACCUUUAUUUAUCUUCCCCCAUAAUUCCACCCAUUGACUAAACCCAUGAGAGUGUAGUUGUGGUUUUAAAAAUGUAUUAAACCUUCAGGAUCAGAAGUUUGACAAAACAAAAUUAAUCUUGGGGAUAUUUUAAGUUGACAUAAAUAUGGUUAGAAUAAUGGGACAAUAGGAUUGAACUUCACCAACUAGAACCGAAGACUAGAGUGCUUGCACAUCUAGGUUUAUAUGCCACAAACUCAUUUUUAACUCACUAGUAUUCAGGUAGAAAGUCAGAAGCAUGUGGUCUCUGAGUGUGUAUGGAUUGUGGGUAUGAUUCAUUCCUUUACCAGGAGCUGUAGGCGUAUAAUGAGUUGCUGAGCUCAUGAGGUGCCUGAAGGAAACAGUCUUCUCUCACAGGAAAAAAAAGAAGUCUCGUCUUUACUUGUCUAGUGAGGUACCAGUGGAGCAGGUUCCCAUUUUCAAGAAAAGGGGUAGUUGUUCUUUCAUUGCUUAACCUUUUUUUCUUACCUGUGGGGAAUUUUUAGCAUAAAAUUGUGAAUAGUUCUUAAUAUAAAUAAAAAUAUAUUUUAAAUGUU